CCGGACCGUACCCACAUCCGCAGCAGUCUCCAAGGUGAACAGCCUCUAGUCGAUGGACCAAUGUAGGUAAGGGAAGUCGGCAAAACGGAUCCGUAACCUUGGGAUAAGGAUUGGCUCUGAGGACUGAGCCGGUCGGGCUGGGGACUGAAGCAGGAACGGCACUGCACCGGGACUGGGCGGGGCUCGCCGUUCACGCGGCGCGGCCAAGCCCGGACCAGCGUCGGGACCUUCCUGUGGAAAGCCUCAGCUGCGCGGCGUCUGAGGGCUUCGUGCCCAAAGUGCUAUGCUUCGGCCGGCAAAAAACAGUCAACUCAGAACUGGCACGGACCGGGGGAAUCCGACUGUCUAAUUAAAACAAAGCAUUGCGAUGGCCGCUGGUCGGUGUUGACGCAAUGUGAUUUCUGCCCAGUGCUCUGAAUGUCAACGUGAAGAGAUUCAUCAAAGCGCGGGUAAACGGCGGGAGUAACUAUGACUCUCUUGUGGUAGCCAAAUGCCUCGUCAUCUAAUUAGUGACGCGCAUGAAUGGAUUAACGAGAUUCCCACUGUCCCUAUCUACUCUUUUCAGCACCCUCGCGAUCCCCACCCGAAGACAGACAGCAACCCCGAUUCGACCAUAAAAUUGUUUAUUCCUCAAGAAGCCUGUAAUCAAGAACCAACUACCGCCGACCAUCAUCCAGCAAGCCGUCCAGAUCCAUAAUUCGACCAUAGAACUGUUAAAACAUCAAGCAUCAUGUAAAAAGAACUUUCAACAACCAUCGUCAACUAGCCCGAAACGCCACUCAAGAGAAGUCAUCAGAGAAGAACUGGGGGGGAGGGAGAUACAUUUUAGUAAUUGUUUAGUCCAGGAAGUAGCAUGUAAAAGGGGGAGGGAUUUUAGAAAAGGCUUUCAUUAGUGUGUACAUUGAUAUGUAUAUAUUUUUUCUUUAUAUCUUUCACACAUUUCACUUAAAUUUUACGUCUUUUUAUGUUUUUACCCUAUAUAGGUAUGUUUGCAAUUUUGUUUUUCCUUUUUUAUAUUUUUGCCUUAUAUAUGGGUGUGUAUGGUUUUGUAUGUAUGUAUGUGUGUAUGUACAUGUCCUAUGUAUAUAUACCCAUAUAUAUAUAUAUAGAU
This 1111-nucleotide non-coding RNA is filed under the name Ixodes scapularis (black-legged tick). RNAcentral describes it as "Eukaryotic large subunit ribosomal RNA". It matches the Rfam family "Eukaryotic large subunit ribosomal RNA", at positions 1837 to 3401 of the family's 3401-position model. The record is from Rfam by way of RNAcentral. Lineage: Eukaryota; Metazoa; Arthropoda; Arachnida; Ixodida; Ixodidae.